CCUUCCGAAAGGAGGGGCAAUACCGAAUAUUGUCCGGAGCCAUGAAGGGUUCCGGGGAAAGGGAGGCCUCUGAUACAAGCUUUCGCCUUAAGAUGAGCCCAUGGCCCAUCAGCUAGUUGGUAGGGUAAAGGCCUACCAAGGCUACGACGGGUCGCUGGUCUGAAGAGGACGACCAGCCACGACUGGCACUGAGAUACGGGCCAGACUCCUACGGGAGGCAGCAGUGAGGAAUAUUGCGCAAUGGGGGGAAA
Molecule: ribosomal RNA, 251 nt
Filed under: uncultured bacterium
Lineage: Bacteria
Description: partial 16S ribosomal RNA
Rfam family: Bacterial small subunit ribosomal RNA
Source: RNAcentral